RNAcentral lists this ribosomal RNA (468 nucleotides) under uncultured bacterium. Its description in RNAcentral is "partial 16S ribosomal RNA". It matches the Rfam family "Bacterial small subunit ribosomal RNA", at positions 28 to 507 of the family's 1533-position model. The record is from RNAcentral.
GACGAACGCUGGCGGCGUGCUUAACACAUGCAAGUCGAACGGAAAGUCCCUGCUUGUGUGUGGUGCUCGAGUGACGAACGGGGGAGUAACCCGUGAGUAACCUGCCCUGUACUUUGGGAUAACUUCAGGGAACUGGGGCUAAUACCGGAUCGGAUCUCCUGCUACAUGGUUUGGGUUGGAGAGUUUCGGCGGAUGGGGAUGGACUCGCGGCUUUUCAGCUUGUUGGUGGGGUAGUGGCUUACCAAGGCUUUGACGGGUAGCCGGCCUGAGAGGGUGACCGGCCACAUUGGGACUGAGAAGCGGGCCAGAGUGCUACGGGAGGCAGCAGUGGGGAACAUUGCACAAUGGGCCGAAGCCUGAUGCAGCAACGCCGCGUGCUGGAUGACGGCCUUCGGGGUGUAAACCGCUUUCGACUGUGACGAAGCGUGAGUGACGGUAAUGGGUAAAGAAGCAACGGCUAACUACGUG